Raphanus sativus (radish) is the source of this 988-nucleotide long non-coding RNA. RefSeq lists it as uncharacterized. The record is from RefSeq and is a predicted model, not a curated record. The transcript has 5 exons. Lineage: Eukaryota; Viridiplantae; Streptophyta; Magnoliopsida; Brassicales; Brassicaceae.
GGGAUUUCUGAAGCCUGUGAAUGUCUAUGGGCUUACUUGACUGAUCUGCGUUCCUGCAGUGGGACUUCUGAUGCCCACUGUAAUCCAAUUUAUGAUCCUUCAAAAUAUGAUGGGCCUGCCCUGUUGAACCAAACGCUGCAGAAACCGAGGUCCAAUGUAGAGCCAUGGCUCUUAAGUAUUCAAAAAUAAAGAAGGAGAAAGAAGAAGCAGAAAGGAAGGUAGAUGCGUUGUCUUCUACAGUGGAGUCACUGAGAGAAGAGCUGCUUAACGAAAGAAACAUAAGUCGUGUAGCUAAGGAAUCAGCUGAGAGAGCUAUCGAAGAGCGCACAGUCGUAUCAAGGGUCGUGCAAUCAGUCGGCUGCAUCAUGAAAAGCUUGCGGUGCCAUUGGUUGAAGUUGCAGAACCUCUGUCAAAACUUGGUCUCGAGUUCACAAUCUUUGGCCUAUACGAUCUUCUUCUCAGAGUGUUACCAGAAAUCCAGACAAACAAAACAUCUUCAAAUAUAAAAGAUAAGUUAUUCUCAGAAAGUGUCUUUUUUAGAUUAUAUGAGACAAUUUUUAUUAUUUCACUGUAGUGAGUUGACUUAAUAGAUACAAUUCAUAUUCAGGUCUUGCACUGAAAGGUUUAGAGACAGAAGCUUUGAAGUACAUGGGACAGGAGGUAGAUGGUCAAUAGCUCUUCGUGAAGGUGCCAGCUUCGAACUGCUAUGAACCUAAGUCGAGCAGUUAAGGUUUAGAGACAGAAGCUUUAUCCAUUUUCAGGACAUGGGACAGAGACAUGACUGCUUAGCAAUAGGAACCAAAGUAUGGUUGAUAGUGCGAAAUGCUCCUCCAGCAGGUCUAACAUGGAAGUUUCGGACAUUGCGCCAUGCUCCAACAGGAAGAAGCCUUCCUUUACUCUCAAAGUAAGUUUUUUUGCAGCUUCCAUGGAUUUUAUCCCCCUUGUACAUGUUACAAAAAAAUUAGAAAUAUAACAUCAUUACACGCUU